This is a non-coding RNA of Phoenix dactylifera (date palm), 917 nucleotides long. NCBI's taxonomy places the organism in Eukaryota, Viridiplantae, Streptophyta, Magnoliopsida, Arecales, Arecaceae. The record is from RefSeq and is a predicted model, not a curated record.
GCCUGUACCGGUUUCCACGGCUCCGCCGUACCGGUAGCUGGCCGGACCGGUUUGUACCGGCCGGUACGGACCGGUUCGGCAUACGCUGGUAUGUACCUUGUUUCGACAUAGGCCGCAAUAGUUUUUCUGACUCCCAGCCAUGAUAUGGCCUGAAAUUAGGCAGUAUAGAUUGGUAUUAGUUGGUAUGGGGUUGUUCCACUCGAUUUAGAUUGGUACAAAUUGGUUUGGCUCAUAUUGAAUCGAACCUUGGUACCAUAUCAGUAACUUUCUAGUACUAUAUGGUAUAGUUGGUACAAGGUAGUAUGAUAGACCUUGAGCUAAAUAAUGAGCAUGAACGCUACUAGAGGACUCUAAUCUAGCAAGAUGGAGGAAACAUACCAACUUUUGAACAUGCUUUAAUAUACUUAGUAUAAUAUAUAUUAUUAAAAGAAAAAACUUGGGUGUUGGAUAUCACCGAUUAUUAGAGAUGCUAUUUAUGCAUAAAUUUUGUUUGCAAGAUCUCCCAAUUGGUGUAUCAGACCUUAUAGCUUAUCAUAAGGCAGGUGAAUGGGUGGUUUAGGGCGAGAGCCUUGCAUUAGGAAUUACUUAAUUUGACACAUGUAGGAUUUUUAUGGGAAGAUCUAGGUUAUUUCACCUAAUCUGAAGCAUUUCAUUCAGUAAUGAAAAAAAAUUGUUCUCCAUCAAUCAUUCUGAACUAGUCCUGCAAUAGCAGUACUCUGGUAUUAUCUGCACAACUGUAGUAUGUUGUUAAUAUGGGAACACGGUUGUGUAAUUUUGAUUUGGAAGUCAAAUUAGUUGAAAGAAAAAUUAAUGCAGACAUUGGAUUUAUCUAAGAUAUUAGGAUUAGAUGAGUCAAAAAACUAUGUUUGUCGGUUUAAAACUUGCUUAUACACUAGUCUAAAGCUGUCAAAUUUCUA